CCUACGGGAGGCAGCAGUGAGGAAUAUUGGUCAAUGGACGCAAGUCUGAACCAGCCAUGCCGCGUGCAGGAAGACGGCUCUCUGAGUUGUAAACUGCUUUUGUACGGGGGUAAACGCAGAUACGCGUAUCUGUCUGAAAGUAUCGUACGAAUAAGGAUCGGCUAACUCCGUGCCAGCAGCCGCGGUAAUACGGAGGAUUCAAGCGUUAUCCGGAUUUAUUGGGUUUAAAGGGUGCGUAGGCGGUCGGGUAAGUUAGCGGUGAAAUCCCGAGGCUCAACUUCGGAAUUGCCUUUGAUACUGUUCGGCUAGAGAGUAGGUGCGGUAGGCGGAAUGCAUGGUGUAGCGGUGAAAUGCGUAGAUAUUAGACAGAACACCGGUGGCGAAGGCAGCUCACCAAGCUACAUCUGACGUUGAGGCACGAAAGCGUGGGGAGCAAACAGGAUUAGAUACCCGAGUAGUC
This 460-nucleotide ribosomal RNA is filed under the name uncultured bacterium. RNAcentral's name for it is "partial 16S ribosomal RNA". It matches the Rfam family "Bacterial small subunit ribosomal RNA", at positions 338 to 795 of the family's 1533-position model. The record is from RNAcentral.